This 2793-nucleotide long non-coding RNA is filed under the name Gallus gallus (chicken). Lineage: Eukaryota; Metazoa; Chordata; Aves; Galliformes; Phasianidae. The record is from RNAcentral.
GAUAUAUGGAUUCAUAGUAUGCAAUAUUACUUUCUGCUUCUGGGACUGGUAUAACCAUAUUAUCCCUCUUCUCUCCAUAUACUUGUUGUGCUGAGAUAGCCCGUUGGAGAUGAUGUUCCGACUCCUCUUCCUUCUCCAUGCCCGUGGGCAUCUGCGGCACGGCCCGGUUAAUGGAGGCAUAUUCGGCCAAGUCGGGCAGAUCCUCGCAGCGGAAGACGGGCAGCGGCUUGGACGCGUCCAGCGCCCGGGCCCGGAACGACAGUUUGCUCAUGUUAGGCGGCGAUGGCGGCUCCGGCUGGGGAGGGGGGGGCGACAGCAAGAGCGCUCCGAGCUGAGAGCCGGACCCCGCCGAGCGCUCUCAUGGAGAGACCGCGGCUCCCCCGGCGGGGCGGGGCGCGCUCCGACACGGGGCCCGGCGGCGCCGGCUGGGCUGGGCGCUGGCUCCGCUCCUCCGCCGCUCCGGCUCCGCUCAAUACGCCACGGCCAACAUGGCGGACAUUAAACCUCGACUGGCCGCCUCUUUCAGCCAACCCCAGCGCCACAGCCAUUCCCACACUGCAUCGCGCAGGGGCGCGGGCACAGCGCCGCCCGGGGGAGAGAGCGCGCGGCGCGGGCACGGGAGCGCGGGCACGGCAGCGCGGGGAGAGCUCGCAGCGGCCGGCGGCGGCGGGCACGGGGCGCUGCUGCCGGCACCGGGCGCCGCCGCCGCUCUCUCGCGACCCGGCGGGACGGGCGCUGCCGCGGGGAGGGCGACAGCCGUUCGCGAGGAGGCUCGGCCGCUGCCUCCCGAGGGGAAGCCUUCCCCUGACAGACCCGCAGCCCGCCCCGGGACGCUGGGGAGAAGGGGUAGUACCACCCGGCCGUUCCCGUCGCCGGAGAGCGGCCGGGGCAGCCCGUUCCGAGCGCCUCACUCCCUCGCUCGCUCACUUACCCCUCAGGGCCGGCGGCGGUGGGGCCGCCCGUUCACCUCAGAGCGCGGCGCCCCCACCAACGGCCGCAGCGGCGCCCGCGGGGUUCCACGGCCGUCUGAGGGGAACGGCGCCCCGAGCCCCGCGGCAGCCCUGCCCGCCCCCACGGGCCCACCGCCUCCCGCUGACCCCAGCGCACGGUCGCGCUCACGGAGGCAGAAACGCGGUCACGGCCCCGCGACGCGAGGAGCUGCGAGCGGCAGUUGGAGCGCUGAAGUGCGCACACGUGAACUGCCCUCACUCCUGCUCGCAUUGAAGCGAUCGCUCCGUUACCCGCACCAGCACUCUUCUAAGCGGGACGGGACGUCCCGAGCCUCCUUUCUCUCAGUAACAUCUCCCGGGGCUGCCCCAGAGCAGCCUUAUACGGGUCACAACGCACUUCUCCCUGCCCAGCGCUGCAGUCACCGAUUCGAGGAGCGCUACGAGCGCUUAUCCGCCUUAUGACUCCGCGUCGUACCGCACCGUAAUUGCAGCCCCGCAGUUAAAUCACAACACGCUUUAGGGUAGUUUUACAAGAACGAGAACACUGUUUGAAUUUACGUAUUCCUCCACAUUUCAAGCAAAACAUCAUAGUCUGCUUCUUUAUGAGAUGCAGUAGCCAAAACCUGUUCUUUCUCUACCACAUAUUAAAGUGGAACUUUAGGGGAAAAAAGGAUGUACAACCAGAAAAAGGACUCGAUUCAUUUGCUAAUCUUUUAAGCCUGCAUGUCUGACCUCCCGGCAGGAGCGUGGAGCUGCUUCACCUGCAGUCUCCGGCCCCCGGGACGGGGAGCUCCGUCUGCACGGCGAACGGGCCAUGCAGGGCAAGAGAGCCGCUGGGAAGAACGUCACUUUCUUUCAAAUACUUCGUUUGCUCGGUUUUGCAAGGAUGCUGGUAUGAACCAAAGAGUAUAGUUGGAUUCAUCUGUGCUUCAGUAAUUACAGCAAAGCCAAAUGCAAAAAUUGCAUCUUGCUUUUUAUGCUAAUUCUAAAGCGUAAGCGUUCCCUAGCUGGAAAUAGUAAUCCUCAAAUAAAUUGCAUAUAAAACUUGUACAGAGUUUUCAACAAAUACUGAAUAAUUUAGUUUAUCCAAAUAGCAGACAGAUGAGGCAAUGAAAAAGAUAAAUAGCAGCACACUGUCGUGCAUGGGCUUUGACCUCAAACACCCAAUGAAAAUGAAACACCUGGAAGUGAAGCAAAAAAUCAGGCAAUUAUGUAUGACUCUCCACUUGCACUGAUGAAAGAAAAACAGUACGUAACAAAAAGCAAAGUACAGAAAACAUCCUCAACUAUAUAGAAAGAAUACUCAAGUUUCAGCUUAUCCUUAAUUGACCUUUGCAUUUCUAACCCCGCUAUGGGAUGAAGAAAAGUGCAGAGCGUGCAGAACGGACAAUAACACUUGGACACAAACAGGAUGCAUUACGAUGAAAUGUUGGCCUGAAGCUCUCGGACUCAUCGGCUUUUAAUGUUUUACCAAUAAAAUACUGUCCAACUAUUUUGUGGCAGAACCUGAGUAGACCUCAAAAUCACCUUAAUUAAUUCGCUGGUGAUGAGAACUGUGAUUUGAGAACAAGGGUAUUCCAAAGCAACGCAACAUCAGCACCCAUUUCUGGUCUGCAAAGGUGAUACCAGGAACAGCACAGAGCUUUUCAGAAGCAGGUGUUAAAACAGACUGAUGGAUGUUUCUAUUUUACCUCCCUCUCUGUUAGCACAUGCAGAUAUAUUUUACAUUUUGCCAUUUUGGUGACAUUUACCGAAGUGCUUUUACAUUACAUUUGUAGACAUCAGCGCUGCUCUCUGACAGCAGUCAAUCUAAAAUUGGUAUCGUGUUUUGCAUAACAACCCA